GGAUACCACGCAGUGAUGGCCAAGCCACACAGCCUUGAGGUCAACGAUUCGCCAGAUUUGACAGCAGAGCACAGUCGUCAGGCAGUCAAGGAAGUUGCGGCAGGUCUGCCAACGUUGGAGGAUACCACGUGGCUGGGCCCAGAACAUUAACGGCACCGAUCAACAUUUCCUGCUCGCCCUAAACCAGACGGAUGACACCUUCCAAAAUUGCACCACGCCGACUGGCACGACGGGCGUCUGCCGACACCUUGCC
Long non-coding RNA from Schistocerca serialis cubense, 253 nucleotides. RefSeq lists it as uncharacterized. The record is from RefSeq and is a predicted model, not a curated record. Lineage: Eukaryota; Metazoa; Arthropoda; Insecta; Orthoptera; Acrididae. The transcript is spliced from 5 exons.